Molecule: long non-coding RNA, 521 nt
Filed under: Ananas comosus (pineapple)
Lineage: Eukaryota; Viridiplantae; Streptophyta; Magnoliopsida; Poales; Bromeliaceae
Description: long non-coding RNA (ACOM_LNC002315)
Source: RNAcentral
AAAAAAUUUAGAAAAAACUUCAAAUACUUUCCAUUUCACACUUUCUCACUUUAGUACCCUAUGAUUUAAAGUGUAUCAAUUUAGUACCAUAUGGUUUCAUUUUUAUCUUUUUAUUAUCGAUUCCACUAAUUUUUUCAUUAAAUCGGUAGCAAAGUUAAAACUAAAGGGUACUAAAGUAAAUAUUUGAUAAACCUAUGUGAGGUAUCUGAAGUUUUUGAUAUAUAAUUUAACAAAAUAUUAAUGGAAAAGCUGGUGAAAAGAUAAAAAUGAAACUACAGAAUACUAACUUGAUAUACUUUAAACCAUAGGACACUAAAGUGAAAAAGUACGAAACUAUAAGGAUGGUAUUUGAAGUUUACCCUGUUAAAAAUUCUGUGCUCAGUGUAUUUAUAUUAACCAUACACGGCCUUCCACUAACCAUCCAUCCUAUUUAAUCUCUUAAUUAUAAAUAUUUUAAAGUUGCAGCAUUUUUUUUAUUUAAUAUUUAAAUCAUUAAAUUAAAAAAUAUAAUAAAAUAAAUA